AACUAAUGAAAUGUUGUUUCAGGUGUGUGUGAAAGGGCCAAACGUCUUUUCUGGUUAUUUGAAAGAUCCAGAGAAAACAGCAGAGGCUCUUGACAAAGAUGGCUGGCUUCAUACAGGAGAUAUUGGGAAAUGGCUACCUAAUGGUACACUGAAGAUCAUUGACCGGAAAAAACACAUAUUUAAACUGGCCCAGGGAGAGUACAUAGCACCAGAGAAAA
Tinamus guttatus (white-throated tinamou) is the source of this 218-nucleotide non-coding RNA. The record is from RefSeq and is a predicted model, not a curated record. NCBI's taxonomy places the organism in Eukaryota, Metazoa, Chordata, Aves, Tinamiformes, Tinamidae.